Molecule: ribosomal RNA, 230 nt
Filed under: uncultured microorganism
Description: partial 16S ribosomal RNA
Rfam family: Bacterial small subunit ribosomal RNA
Source: RNAcentral
UACGUAGGGCGCAAGCGUUGUCCGGAAUUAUUGGGCGUAAAGAGCUCGUAGGCGGCUGGUCGCGUCUGUCGUGAAAACUUCCGGCUCAACCGGGGGCUUGCGGUGGGUACGGGCCGGCUAGAGUGCGGUAGGGGUAACUGGAACUCCUGGUGUAGCGGUGGAAUGCGCAGAUAUCAGGAAGAACACCGAUGGCGAAGGCAGGUUACUGGGCCGUUACUGACGCUGAGGAG